RNAcentral lists this long non-coding RNA (2824 nucleotides) under Nicotiana tabacum (common tobacco). RNAcentral's name for it is "long non-coding RNA (NTAB_LNC003017)". The record is from RNAcentral. Lineage: Eukaryota; Viridiplantae; Streptophyta; Magnoliopsida; Solanales; Solanaceae.
AAUUAUUUUGGUCUAAUUUUACUUUGAGAAUAUAAUAUAGCUCAAUCUCAGAUAUAUGGCAUUACAUGAGUGUAACAAAUGAAACAACCUUGGGAUAUGUUAAGUUACAAGUUGAUGAGUGAAGGACCUAACCUACAUAUAAAUUAAAUAAAAGGUUAGCAAACGGAAAGGGAUAUGGAUCAAGAAAAGUUACGUGGCAGUUGGUGGUUAUAUAAGGAUUUAACUACGAAUCCUUUGAAUUUAAUAACAAACAAGAGGACAAGAGAAUUAAAUAACCCAUUAAAUAUCUGUAAAUGGGUCUCGUGCCAUAGACAGUUUAUGUAAUUAUUUUAGGAAUGGAUAGAAAGGGGUAAUAUAAAUGGCCGACGUAGGCAUCUUGUGUAGUUUCCUCAUUUAGCAUUCCCUCCUCUUUUAGGCAAAGGAAAUGGGCUGUCGUCCCCAUUAGGUCCAUCAAUGAGCCCAGACGCAAACUAACAGUGAGAUUGUUGCUGAAGGUUCAAAACUAAUACAUAAGUUACCACUCGAACUAUGGAUCAAAUCCCCCUUACACACUUUUUGCGGAGGAAAAUUACCUUGCACACUCAACCUUUCUAGAAUGUAGCAUUUACACAUUUUUUUAUGAGGUGACCUGCGCGUGUAAGUGAACGCGUUAAAGUUAAAUAAGUAGUCCAAAUUUUAUUUUUUCUUAUUUUUCUUUUAAAUAAAAAGAAGAAAAAAGUAUCUAAACCCUUCCCUCCCCUUUCGUCCCCCCUCCCUCCUUAUCUUAUCCAGAUACCCCUUUGUUACACAAGUGACCCAUUUAAUUUUUUUUCUUUUUCUUUCUUGCUUUCACACACCUUCCACCAUAGAAGAACGAAUUUUCAAGCUUGAUUUCUUCUUCUUCAUUUUUUUUAUUAAAUCUGGGGUUGAUUUGGUGUUUGUGGAAGGUGUCAAAGACAUUAUAUUGGUCUAUGGAGGAGGCAACAUAGGCCGGUAUUAUCUUCUUAAGCACCGACGGCUUAAAGUUAAGUAUUUUCGGCUUCAAUUCCAACCAAUUCGAUUAUUCCGAUGAAAAGAAAGAGGACAAGUGAUAAAAUUCUUGAACUAGUUCUCUUUCUUAAUCAAAGUGCCACCCUAAUUUCUUCAGUGUUUAUUGUUGCUGGGAGGAAGAUGCAUUUGAAAUUACCGUGAAAAAUGACCGACAGAUGUUAGGAAGAAGACAGAGAGGGUUAGGGAAGAUGAUUGUUUUUUCAUUUUGUUUUAAUGCAAAUUGAGGUAUAUUUUUUAAGUAUAAUUUUUUCCCCAAAGACAUAACACGUGUCACACAUUGAUUGGAGUGUGUAAUGCAAUCUCUAAGAAGAAGUGGUUAAUCCCAAAAGUAGUGUGUUAUAGGCACACUUUGGAAAGGUUGAGUGUGUAUGGUAAUUUUCCUCCGCAAAAAUGUGUAAGAGGGAUUUGGUCCAUAGUUCGAGUGGUAACUUAUGUAUUUUGCCAUCCAAAUUCUAUAACAUUGCAUGGUAAGAAUUAAACAAUGGAAAAUUAUCAAAUUUUGCUUCAAAGGAAACAGUUCCGAAAACUUCAAAUUACCUGACUUCCAUAAUACAUAAAUUACAUCCCAAUUUGAACUAAAUUAUACAAUACUGUACUUAAUGAAGCAUGAAUCAAAGAGGAAUUAUAAAUUUACAAGGCCCUAAUAAAUUAAAACUAACUGAUGAUGUGAAUAACACUGCCAUCUAUUCAAUUUCCAAAUCAAGAUGCCAACCUUUGGAUUUGAACUUGUACCAAAUGGACUUCAAUUGGUUCCAAUAGUUAUUUAUUAACCUGGACACCAUACCUUUAGCAUCUAAUCAAUGACAACAAAAAGCUAGUCUAAGAUUUGCGAAGAAAAGAGCUAAAUAUGACAUAGAGAUCUCUUAUAAUUAAAGAGAGUGAUUCAGUGACAAAAAUUAGAUUCUGAAAUAAAAAAAAAACAUAGCUGAACCAUCAGCAUCUAGACCCUUUUUCUUUUAACAACCUUUAAAAUCUAACCUUGAUUUAUGGCUUGCAACAGUCAGAUCCGCAAGACUUUAACCAAGUUAUUAGCCAACAAGCACUUUCUAUCCUUCAAAACCAAAAAAAAAUUGCCAUGCUCAAAACAGCUUGCUCAUGACCAAGAUUCUACUAUGGCUUGAAACCAAAGAAAAUACCAACAACAAACCAAACAAACAUAUUUCUGAAAGAAACAAGAAGAAGAUCACUACAUGAUGGCAUGUUUUAAAACAACAUACAUAACACUAAUAAACUGUUCCCAUUUGUUUUAUUACUUUAACCAUUACUCAAACACAAAACAAAGCAGGUUUGGAGCUUUGAAUCAGCCAAAAAUCCAAAGAAAAUCACCACAAAAAAAAACAGAAUCUGACUUCAUUCAUACUUAAAGUUCAAGGAAAUCAGCUUCUAUUCAAAAUACAACUUAAAAUCAAGCAUACAAAGUUCAGAAAAAUACCUAUAAAAGAAAAUGGGACAAACAACUCAAAGAAAGAAGAAGUCUGCAGCAGCUCAGCUCAAAUCGAACAGCAGUGAAUUCAAGAAACAAAGUUUUGUUUCAGCUUUAGGAAACCCCAGCAAAUGACUCCAAAAACGGCCAGAAGUAGAAAAAUUUUCUUCAGAAUUUUUUGGAAAAAAGAACUGAUUUAAGCCGUUUGUAUUUUUUCACUCCUUUUUUCUGUGCCCUAAUGAUUGGAAAGAGGGUCUUUUAUAGGGAAAAUUAGGGCAGCAAAUUAGAUUUUCUUAAUUCUAUACCACCUCUCUUCAAUUCUUAUUUUGUUCACUUGGACCCCUUAAAAUUUAAACCAUUCAAACAAUUAUC